GGUAGCCAGUGCAAAUUGAUAAACAUAUAUACAUAAUAAAUAUACACAGUACACACAUAUAUUAUGUAAAAAAAAAGAAAAGAAAAAAAAAAGAAAAAAACAGCUGAGCAAGGUCUUCAGCAUUAGCUCACACUGCCAGACAGGUGUGUGGACAGACUGGAGAUAAACUCCUCCAGGACACCACUGUUGUAAGUGAUCAACCUAGCAGUAAUCCUGCGUCUCUUCUCAAAGGUGUCAAAAUAUAAAUACAUUUUAAUUUGUAUUGAUAUAUGCAGUAUUUCACUGAUAUUCAUUAAUUUUUUCUCCCUUUUUUUGUCAGAUGCAGAUAAAGAGUCACCAGGAACAGGUCACUGCAUCUUUUGUCAUGUAGAUGCUGGAACAAAAAGCAGCCAGGCCACAGCAUCUAAAAUGGAGACUUCUAUUAAAGUGGGACGGUGGAAGGAGCAGAAGAACCAAAAGAUCAAAGAUCAGGCAGAGCUCUACUGAUGCCCCUUAGGGGAUUGAUUUAUCUAUAAUUAUCUAUAAUAUCUACUUAAUGUUCUGAUGUAGUUAUAAUUGGUCAUUGUUUUGUUUUAUAAAUCUAUUUAAUACAUUCUAGUGUUCAAUAGUUUGGGGUCAGAAAGUUUUUUUUUUUUUUUUUUUUCAAGAUAUUACUUGUAUUCAGCAAGGGCGCAUUAAACUGAUAAAAAGCAACAGUAAAAACUUUUACAUUGUUGGACAAAAAUCCUGUUUAAAAAAAUGCUGCUCUUUUAAAUGCUCUAUUCAAAGUAACCUUAAAAAAUAUAUAUUACUGUUUGCAAAAAUGAAGCAGCACAACUGUCUUUGAGAUGAUAAAAAAAUGCACCAAAACAGAAUAUUUUAAUCAUUUCUUUUGGAUUGUAUGACACAGAAGACCGGAGUAAUGGCUGCUGAAAAUUAAACAUCAUAGUAAAACAGUUUUUUUUUUUAUUAAAACAGCUAUUUAAAAUUGUAAUAUUUCAUAAUGUUACUGCUUUAACUGUACAUUUACAAAAACAUUUACAAAUCUUACCUAUCCUAAACUUUUGAACAGUGUUUUUCUUCAUUUUUUACAUGGCCAUGAAUAAAUCAAAGUAUUUGAAAUUUAUGAGACUUAAU
Long non-coding RNA from Cyprinus carpio (common carp), 1116 nucleotides. NCBI's taxonomy places the organism in Eukaryota, Metazoa, Chordata, Actinopteri, Cypriniformes, Cyprinidae. The record is from Ensembl.